This is a long non-coding RNA of Bubalus bubalis (water buffalo), 346 nucleotides long. RefSeq lists it as uncharacterized. NCBI's taxonomy places the organism in Eukaryota, Metazoa, Chordata, Mammalia, Artiodactyla, Bovidae. The record is from RefSeq and is a predicted model, not a curated record. The transcript is spliced from 3 exons.
CUAUACCCUGAAAAGCCUCAGCUACAGAGAGCUGCUAAUUCCAGGGUUCAGGGAAAAAGCAACAGCCUUGUUCAAGCCAAAGCAGGAACUCUUUCUUUGGGUGGGCUCUUCCCUAGGUCCCUGGACUGGAUGCUGGGUUCCCUGGAGCACUUUUAAGCAAACCAGACUGCUCGGGCAAAGUUUUGAAAAACCGUUUUGAAAGGCUGGGCCACAGCAUGUCUUACCUAGACCUGCUAUGGACUCAUGAUUGAAAAUUGCUGACUUCCACAGUGCAGCCAGCUGAUUCAUGCUGUAUUCUGAAGGUUAUGAGUCUCCAUGUGAUAUUAAGAACUGUACGUCUGAACCA